UCCGCCCCGUAGCCGCCCCUUUAACUCCCAGCUCUCGGACCGCGGGAUUUCGAGCUCUUCUCUCGCGAGAUCUUCGCUGUAUUGGAACAGGCUGUGCGUAUGCAGAAAAAUGGAGUAUAUGACAGAAUCCACCGACCGCACCCCUGGACACAUCUUGUGCUGUGAGUGUGGUGUCCCAAUUAGUCCAAAUCCUGCCAAUAUUUGUGUGGCCUGUUUGCGAAGUAAAGUAGACAUCAGCCAAGGCAUUCCGAAACAGGUGUCUGUAUCUUUCUGCAAGCAAUGUCAAAGGUAUGGUGCAGUACUAUUUUAUUCUACUUAAAGUUGAGAUUUAUAUAUAGCAAAGCCACCGGGAUAUGCUGAGAUGACACCAGGGUACAUAGAAUAAAGCCAUAUAGUUGAGAUAUAAUUGUUAUUUAUGUUGGUGUCGCUAAAGACUUUAGGAUUUUCAGUUUUGUAGUGUACAUUUCUAGUUUGCCCUGCUCAUCUGGUAAAGUUAAUGUAAAGGUAUUUGAAUCUGCUUUUAAUAAGUUUGAUGUAUGUGGUUAAUAGAUACGAGCUGAUGUUCGUAAGGGUAAGUGAAAGCAAAUUACUAAGGACAUAAUAUUGUUAUUAUCAUGAGGGUUUUUUUUAUUUCGUCACCAGAAGCUAGGUAUGAUAAAAAGCUUCUGAAGUUUUAACGUUUUAAGUAAUUUGGCAAGGUGUUUUAAAAAUCUAGUAAAAUGCCAGUGUAACAAAAUGAUUAUAGUUAGCUAUUAACAUGAAACUGCCUAGUGACGCUGCCCAUAUAAAGUUAAUUGCCUGUGAUUUCCUAAAUGAGUUAGGACUCCAGAAGUUCUUAACUUUUUUGGGGGGUUGGGGGGUUGGUUCAUGAAUCCCUUUGGGAAUUUGAAAACUAUCUUUCCAGAAAAAUACUUAAAAUGUACAUAUAUACAAACACAUGAAGCUUUACUAUUUUAGGGAGUUUACAGUUUGCAAGUUUGGCAAGUAUGAGGUUUGAUCAGUUACAGAUAGUUGGUCUUAAAAGCAUGGUGGAGUGAAAGAGCACUGGACAAAGAAUCGGGAGACCUAGUUCGUCUUGGAUUUCUCAUAGACUAGUUUUUUGAAACUCUGCUAAUUAACCUUUCUAAGGCUUAAUUUCCUCAUCAGAAUGAAAGCGUUUUAUUAGAUGAUAGAGGAAGUCCUUUCUGACUCCAAAAACAUGCUUAUAAUAAAGGAACCUAUAUAAGGUUUUUGAAUGAACCUUUCAAAGUGAAAAUCAGGUGCCUGGCGGGCUCAGGAGGUAGCUUUUGACUCUGGAUCUUGGGGUUGUGGUUUCAAGCCCCACGUUGGGUGUAGAGAUUACGUAAAAAUAAAAUCUAAUAAAUAAAAUUGAUAAUUAGAACUUUCACUUAACAAGUAUAGCAAAAAUAAGCACACAUAUAAUAUAUUUAGAAGUAUUACAUAUUUAACAAACAUUUAUUGAGCACUUACUAUGUGCUUGGCACUGUUC
Ailuropoda melanoleuca (giant panda) is the source of this 1489-nucleotide long non-coding RNA. RefSeq lists it as uncharacterized. NCBI's taxonomy places the organism in Eukaryota, Metazoa, Chordata, Mammalia, Carnivora, Ursidae. The transcript has 3 exons. The record is from RefSeq and is a predicted model, not a curated record.